UAAGGCAGUGGUAGCGCUGAAGAAUAUUCGUGCAAUUGUCGUUAUUCAUUAUAAAAGGGCGGGUUUUAAAGGAUAUUUUAAAAUUUAAAACAAGCUUUUAAGAGCAGAUGGCGGAUGCCUUGCCAAAGAGAGGCGAUGAAGGACGUACUAGACUGCGAUAAGCUAUGCGGAGCUGUCAAGGAGCUUUGAUGCGUAGAUGUCCGAAUGGGGCAACCCAACUAAUAGAGAUAUUAGUUACUCUUUAAAUAGAGAGCGAACCUAGUGAAGUGAAACAUCUCAGUAACUAGAGGAAAAGAAAUCAACGAGAUUCCCUAAGUAGUGGCGAGCGAACGGGGAAAAGGGCAAACCGAGUGCUUGCAUUCGGGGUUGAGGACUGCAACAUCCAAGAGAACGCUUUAGCAGAGUUACCUGGAAAGGUAAGCCAUAGAAAGUGAUAGCCUUGUAUGCGACAAGGCGUUCUUAGGUAGCAGUAUCCAGAGUAGGCCAGGACACGAGAAAUCCAGGUUGAAGCCGGGGAGACCACUCUCCAACCCUAAAUACUACUCUUUGAGCGAUAGCGAACAAGUACCGUGAGGGAAAGGUGAAAAGAACCGCAGUGAGCGGAGUGAAAUAGAACCUGAAACCAUCUGCUUACAAUCAUUCAGAGCCCUAUGAUUUAUCAGGGUGAUGGACUGCCUUUUGCAUAAUGAUCCUGCGAGUUGUGGUAUCUGGCAAGGUUAAGCGAAUGCGAAGCCGUAGCGAAAGCGAGUCUUAAUAGGGCGAACAAGUCAGAUGCUGCAGACCCGAAGCUAAGUGAUCUAUCCAUGGCCAAGUUGAAACGCGUGUAAUAGCGCGUGGAGGACUGAACUCGUACCCAUUGAAACGGGUUGGGAUGAGCUGUGGAUAGGGGUGAAAGGCCAAACAAACUUAGUGAUAGCUGGUUCUCUUCGAAAUAUAUUUAGGUAUAGCCUCAAGUGAUAAUAAAAGGGGGUAGAGCCCUGAUUGGGCUAGGGCUGCUCGCCGCGGUACCAAACCCUAUCAAACUUCGAAUACCUUUUAUCGUAUCUUGGGAGUCAGGCGGUGGGUGAUAAAAUCAAUCGUCAAAAGGGGAACAACCCAGACUACCAAAUAAGGUCCCUAAGUUCUAUUCUGAGUGGAAAAAGAUGUGUGGCUACUCAAACAACCAGGAGGUUGGCUUAGAAGCAGCCAUCCUUUAAAGAAAGCGUAACAGCUCACUGGUCUAGUGGUCAUGCGCUGAAAAUAUAACGGGGCUAAGAUAGACACCGAAUUUGUAGAUUGUGUUAAACACAGUGGUAGAAGAGCGUUCAUACCAGCGUUGAAGGUAUACCGGUAAGGAGUGCUGGAGCGGUAUGAAGUGAGCAUGCAGGAAUGAGUAACGAUAAGAUAUAUGAGAAUUGUAUCCGCCGUAAAUCUAAGGUUUCCUACGCGAUGGUCGUCAUCGUAGGGUUAGUCGGGUCCUAAGCCGAGUCCGAAAGGGGUAGGUGAUGGCAAAUUGGUUAAUAUUCCAAUACCGACUAUGGAGCGUGAUGGGGGGACGCAUAGGGUUAAGCGAGCUAGCUGAUGGAAGCGCUAGUCUAAGGGCGUAGAUUGGAGGGAAGGCAAAUCCACCUCUGUAUUUGAAACCCAAACAGGCUCUUUGAGUCCUUUUAGGACAAAGGGAGAAUCGCUGAUACCGUCGUGCCAAGAAAAGCCUCUAAGCAUAUCCAUAGUCGUCCGUACCGCAAACCGACACAGGUAGAUGAGAUGAGUAUUCUAAGGCGCGUGAAAGAACUCUGGUUAAGGAACUCUGCAAACUAGCACCGUAAGUUCGCGAUAAGGUGUGCCACAGCGAUGUGGUCUCAGCAAAGAGUCCCUCCCGACUGUUUACCAAAAACACAGCACUUUGCCAACUCGUAAGAGGAAGUAUAAGGUGUGACGCCUGCCCGGUGCUCGAAGGUUAAGAGGAUGCGUCAGUCGCAAGAUGAAGCGUUGAAUUGAAGCCCGAGUAAACGGCGGCCGUAACUAUAACGGUCCUAAGGUAGCGAAAUUCCUUGUCGGUUAAAUACCGACCUGCAUGAAUGGCGUAACGAGAUGGGAGCUGUCUCAACCAGAGAUUCAGUGAAAUUGUAGUGGAGGUGAAAAUUCCUCCUACCCGCGGCAAGACGGAAAGACCCCGUGGACCUUUACUACAACUUAGCACUGCUAAUGGGAAUAUCAUGCGCAGGAUAGGUGGGAGGCUUUGAAGUAAGGGCUUUGGCUCUUAUGGAGC
Molecule: ribosomal RNA, 2248 nt
Filed under: Helicobacter pylori
Lineage: Bacteria; Pseudomonadati; Campylobacterota; Epsilonproteobacteria; Campylobacterales; Helicobacteraceae
Description: bacterial LSU rRNA
Rfam family: Bacterial large subunit ribosomal RNA
Source: RNAcentral